GACCAGACUCCUACGGGAGGCAGCAGUGGGGAAUAUUGCACAAUGGGGGAAACCCUGAUGCAGCGACGCCGCGUGAGCGAUGAAGUAUUUCGGUAUGUAAAGCUCUAUCAGCAGGGAAGAAAAUGACGGUACCUGACUAAGAAGCCCCGGCUAACUACGUGCCAGCAGCCGCGGUAAUACGUAGGGGGCAAGCGUUAUCCGGAUUUACUGGGUGUAAAGGGAGCGUAGACGGCUGUGCAAGCCAGAUGUGAAAGCCCGGGGCUCAACCCCGGGACUGCAUUUGGAACUGUGUGGCUGGAGUGUCGGAGAGGCAGGCGGAAUUCCUAGUGUAGUGGUGAAAUGCGUAGAUAUUAGGAGGAACACCAGUGGCGAAGGCGGCCUGCUGGACGAUGACUGACGUUGAGGCUCGAAAGCGUGGGGAGCAAACAGGAUUAGAUACCCCUGUAA
This 447-nucleotide ribosomal RNA is filed under the name uncultured bacterium. RNAcentral's name for it is "bacterial SSU rRNA". It matches the Rfam family "Bacterial small subunit ribosomal RNA", at positions 329 to 793 of the family's 1533-position model. The record is from RNAcentral.